GAUGAACGCUGGCGGCGUGCCUAACACAUGCAAGUCGAGCGAUCUUCUUCGGAAGAGAGCGGCGGACGGGUGAGUAACGCGUGGGUAACCUGCCCUGUACACACGGAUAACAUACCGAAAGGUAUGCUAAUACGAGAUAAUAUGCUUUUAUCGCAUGGUAGAAGUAUCAAAGCUCCGGCGGUACAGGAUGGACCCGCGUCUGAUUAGCUAGUUGGUAAGGUAACGGCUUACCAAGGCGACGAUCAGUAGCCGACCUGAGAGGGUGAUCGGCCACAUUGGAACUGAGACACGGUCCAAACUCCUACGGGAGGCAGCAGUGGGGAAUAUUGCACAAUGGGCGAAAGCCUGAUGCAGCAACGCCGCGUGAGCGAUGAAGGCCUCCGGGUCGUAAAGCUCUGUCCUCAAGGAAGAUAAUGACGGUACUUGAGGAGGAAGCCCCGGCUAACUACGUGCCAGCAGCCGCGGUAAU
This 469-nucleotide ribosomal RNA is filed under the name uncultured bacterium. RNAcentral's name for it is "bacterial SSU rRNA". It matches the Rfam family "Bacterial small subunit ribosomal RNA", at positions 28 to 524 of the family's 1533-position model. The record is from RNAcentral.